UUAAAUUUGUAAGGGCGUAUGGUGGAUGCCUUGGCAUUAGAAGCUGAUGAAGGACGUGACUAACUACGAUAUGCUUCGGGGAGAUGUACGUAAUCUUUGAUCCGGAGAUUUCCGAAUGGGGGAACCCACUAGUGGUAAUGCGCUAGUAUCACAUGGUGAAUAUAUAGCCAUGUAGAAAGCAACCCAGUGAACUGAAACAUCUUAGUAACUGGAGGAACAGAAAGAAAAAUCGAUUUCCUUAGUAGUGGCGAGCGAAAUGGAAAGAGCCCAAACCGACUUUAGAGUCGGGGUUGUAGGACCUCUGUAUAAGAGUAAGAAAAUCAUAACAUAGUUGAACUAUUCUGGAAAGUUUGGCGAAACAAGGUGAUAGCCCUGUAAACGAAAUGUUAUGGUCUCUUUGAGGUAUCCUGAGUACAGCGAGUCACGUGGAAUCUUGUUGGAAUCUGCGGGGACCAUCCCGCAAGGCUAAAUACUCUCUAGUGACCGAUAGUGAACAAGUACCGAGAGGGAAAGGUGAAAAGAACCCCGGGAGGGGAGUGAAAUAGAAUACUGAAACCAUGUGCUUACAAGAAGUCAGAGCUCGUUAAAGAGUGAUGGCGUGCCUUUUGCAGAAUGAACCGGCGAGUUAUUGUAUCAUGCAAGGUUAAGUUGAAGAGACGGAGCCGAAGCGAAAGCGAGUCUUAAUAGGGCGAUAUAGUAUGAUGUAAUAGACCCGAAACCGAGUGAUCUAGCCAUGAGCAGGUUGAAGUUUGGGUAAAACCAAAUGGAGGACCGAACCGACGUACUAGGAAACGUGCGCGGAUGACUUGUGGCUAGCGGUGAAAUUCCAAACGAACUCGGAUAUAGCUGGUUCUCCCCGAAAUAGGUUUAGGCCUAGCCUUGAGAAAAUGCCCUUUGGAGGUAGAGCACUGAAUACAUGAUGGCGGCACCUAGCUGUACUGAGUGUAAUCAAACUCCGAAUGCCAAAGAAAGUAGUCUCAGGAGUCAGUGUAUGGGUGAUAACGUCCGUACGCAAAAGGAAAAGAAUCCAGAUCGCCAGCUAAGGUCCCAAAAUAUAUGCUAAGUGGGAAAGGAUGUGGAGUUGUCAAAACAGCUAGGAGGUUGGCUUAGAAGCAGCCACCCUUUAAAGAGUGCGUAAUAGCUCACUAGUCGAGUGACACUGCGCCGAAGAUGUACCGGGGCUAAGCAUAUUACCGAAGCUGCGAAUUUAUACGAUAAGUAUAAGUGGUAGGGGAGCGUUCUAAUUGCGGAGAAGGCAGAUCGAGAGGACUGUUGGAGCGAUUAGAAGUGAGAAUGCCGGUAUGAGUAGCGCAAGAUGGGUGAGAAUCCCAUCCACCGUUUGCCUAAGGGUUCCUGGGGAAGGUUCGUCCUCCCAGGGUAAGUCAGGACCUAAGACGAGGCCGAAAGGCGUAGCCGAUGGACAACAGGUUUAUAUUCCUGUACCACCUAUAUAACUGAGGGAAUGACGAAGGAAGCUAGGGAGAGCCAGUUAAUGGAUUCUGGUCUAAGCACAAAGGCUAGUAUGCUAGGAAAUCUGUAAUACUAAGUAGCUGAAGUGUGAUGGUGAAUGUAGUAGAGAUACUACAGAAAUCUCUUGACGCUAAACUUCCAAGAAAAGUUUCUAGGGUUAAUUAUAUAGGUGCCUGUACCAAGAACCGACACAGGUGGGCAAGGAGAGUAUCCUAAGGUGAGCGAGAGAACUAUGGUUAAGGAACUCGGCAAAAUGACUCCGUAACUUCGGGAGAAGGAGUGCUCGAGCGAUCGAGCCGCAGUGAAUAGGCCCAGGCAACUGUUUACCAAAAACACAGGUCUCUGCUAAGUCGAAAGACGAUGUAUAGGGGCUGACGCCUGCCCAGUGCUGGAAGGUUAAGAGGAGAGCUUAGCUUGACGCAAGUCGAUGUGCGAAGGCUCGAAUUGAAGCCCCAGUGAACGGCGGCCGUAACUAUAACGGUCCUAAGGUAGCGAAAUUCCUUGUCGGGUAAGUUCCGACCCGCACGAAAGGUGUAAUGAUCUGGGCACUGUCUCGACCAUAGACUCGGUGAAAUUUUAAUACCUGUGAAAAUGCAGGUUACCCGCGACAGGACGGAAAGACCCCGUGGAGCUUUACUGCAGCUUGAUAUUGGGAUUCGGAUUGUUAUGUAGAGAAUAGGUGGGAGACUAUGAAGUUAGGACGCUAGUUCUAAUGGAGUCGACGUUGGAAUACCACCCUUAAUAAUCUGGAUUUCUAACCUGGUACCGUGAAACCGGUAUAGGGACAGUGUCUGGUGGGCAGUUUGACUGGGGCGGUCGCCUCCUAAAAAGUAACGGAGGCGCUCAAAGAUUCCCUCAGAAUGGUUGGAAAUCAUUCGAAGAGUGUAAAGGUAUAAGGGAGUUUGACUGCGAGACCAACAAGUCAAGCAGGUGCGAAAGCAGGACUUAGUGAUCAGGCGAUUCAGUAUGGAAUGGUCGUCGCUUAACGGAUAAAAGUUACCCCGGGGAUAACAGGCUGAUACCACCCAAUAGUUCACAUAGACGGUGGUGUUUGGCACCUCGAUGUCGGCUCGUCACAUCCUGGAGGUGAAGUCGCUUCCAAGGGUUGGGCUGUUCGCCCAUUAAAGUGGCACGCGAGCUGGGUUCAGAACGUCGUGAGACAGUUCGGUCCCUAUCCGUCGUGGGCGUAGGAAAAUUGAGGAGAGCUGUUCCUAGUACGAGAGGACCGGAACGGACAUACCUCUGGUGUAUCUGUUGUAACGCCAGUUGCAGUGCAGAGUAGCUAUGUAUGGAAUGGAUAACCGCUGAAAGCAUCUAAGCGGGAAGCCAACUUCAAGAUGAGUUUUCCCAUUUUUAAUAAAGUAAGAUCCCAGAAAGACUAACUGGUUGAUAGGCUAGAGGUGGAAGCAUGGCAACAUGUUGAGCUGACUAGUACUAAUAGAUCGAGGAUUUAAUCAU
RNAcentral lists this ribosomal RNA (2928 nucleotides) under human gut metagenome. Its description in RNAcentral is "bacterial LSU rRNA". It matches the Rfam family "Bacterial large subunit ribosomal RNA". The record is from RNAcentral.